UACAAGUACUGUUUGCACCUGUGUC
RNAcentral lists this non-coding RNA (25 nucleotides) under Rattus norvegicus (Norway rat). The record is from RNAcentral. Lineage: Eukaryota; Metazoa; Chordata; Mammalia; Rodentia; Muridae.